AGCGAACGCUGGCGGCAGGCCUAACACAUGCAAGUCGAACGAACUCUUCGGAGUUAGUGGCGGACGGGUGAGUAACACGUGGGAACGUGCCUUUUGGUUCGGAAUAACUCAGGGAAACUUGUGCUAAUACCGAAUGUGCCCUUCGGGGGAAAGAUUUAUCGCCAUUAGAGCGGCCCGCGUCUGAUUAGCUAGUUGGUGAGGUAACGGCUCACCAAGGCGACGAUCAGUAGCUGGUCUGAGAGGAUGACCAGCCACACUGGGACUGAGACACGGCCCAGACUCCUACGGGAGGCAGCAGUGGGGAAUCUUGCGCAAGGGGCGAAAGCCUGACGCAGCCAUGCCGCGUGAAUGAUGAAGGUCUUAGGAUUGUAAAAUUCUUUCAACGGGGACGAUAAUGACGGUACCCGGAGAAGAAGCCCCGGCUAACUUCGUG
Molecule: ribosomal RNA, 433 nt
Filed under: uncultured bacterium
Lineage: Bacteria
Description: partial 16S ribosomal RNA
Rfam family: Bacterial small subunit ribosomal RNA
Source: RNAcentral